Zingiber officinale is the source of this 1577-nucleotide long non-coding RNA. RefSeq lists it as uncharacterized. Lineage: Eukaryota; Viridiplantae; Streptophyta; Magnoliopsida; Zingiberales; Zingiberaceae. The record is from RefSeq and is a predicted model, not a curated record. The transcript has 2 exons.
CCCUCUCUCUCUCUUUUCCUCUCCAAUUUCAUCUUUCUGGAGGUGCUCUGUUCUGGUUUGGAGAUUCAAUGUUGUGAUUUCUAACGGUAGAGCUCAUAUGCAAUGAAAUAGAUCUUUGGGUUUCUAGUGGUUCCGAUCACUUAUCAACGUUUUGAUUCAUCGUUCCUCGCACCUUUUGGUAAAUUGUUUUUCCUGUUAUACUGUCACCAGCUGCUAUGUGAUUCAACUGGAGGAUCCUCCGAAAGAAGUAGAUUGCAUAGCAGUUGCUUGAAGGGGUUAAACAGGGGAAGACAGCCAGUAGUUUAGAAAUCAAACACCAAUUGCUUCACCCUGCACACUCAUUCAUUGAAAAUUUUAUAUGAUCUUUCCGCAACUCCACAUCGCUAGAGUCAAUUGUGGACAACCACACUAAAAGUGAAACUUUAGUACCAUGCUGCUUUGUGUCAUGUCUUGCACGCCAAAUUUCCAGCUGCCAAAUUUGCACUUGUACAGCAGUGCUGAUGACCCUAGACGUUAAUCCUUUGGCUUAAUAGUUCUUCAUGUCAUGAAUCUAUGAAAAAAUACCCAUGUUAAGGCAAUUGAAAACAACAAGUAACACUAGUAGGCCGUCCCUCUCUAUGCACUGCAGUCGAUAUAUGAUGUAUUUGCUUCAUGAUUUCGUCAUUUUGAUUAAUUCCCUCCCUCUUUGCAUUUUUUGCUUUAUUUCAAUUCAUAAAGGCGCUACUUAGUUGGCCUUUCCUGGCUAUCAACUUAGACUCGGGGUGUUCUUUUGGAUCAGUUAUGUCUUUGCAUAUAAUUUUUCAAUAGAUUUAUAUUCUGAGAAUCUCCAUCUCAUCCUAACUGUCAUAAAACUUGCAUUCUUUUCAUUAACUUCUUAGUCCAUUUUCAUACUUUGCUUAAUAUCUAGGUUGUUUUUUUUGCUUCUAUUGAUCUUUUAUUUAUGCAAUAGAAAUAAAGAAACUGCAAAUGCUAAAAGAUAGGAAACAUUGUUUGUGCCAUAAAUAAUACAGUUGACAGAGAAAUUUUGGAUUACCAUCUAGGUGUCUAAUGUUAGAUCAGAUGAUCUAUUUGACCCUAAGGACAACAGGUUCCUUGUGUAUAUCCGUAUUACAAAAGUUUAAGAUUUUCGCAUAAAGUAGUAUGGUUGUAUCACGGCCUUAUGGGAUGAAGUGUUUUUUGCAAUAGUUCACGAGUGGCAGCAGUAGAUUGUAUGAUUUGGUUUUGGAGUUAGUUGUGAGGGUCGGAGAAGAUGGAUGAUGCAAAACAACGACGAGUUCACCAGUUGAAGGAAGUAAGCUGAUUUGUAUGUAUGGAUGUGAAAGGGAGUCAAUGCAACAACUCUAAAUGUUCUAGCAACUAUGCAUCAUGCGAGCAGGAUGGUGAACUAGCAACGACGAGUUCACCAGUUGAAGGAAGUCGUAACACAGAAGACAGCACCUUCGUUCUUGUGUGUAAAUGCAAUAGUUGGAAGAUACUACCCAAUUUAUACUACCCAAUUUAUUGAUUUAGUUGAGAACAGAGAGACAGAGGCAAACAUUACCUUCACUUAAUCAUAGUUGAUGUAAUUUAUCAUUAAA